Non-coding RNA from Cinara cedri, 918 nucleotides. The record is from the annotation of a GenBank genome assembly. Lineage: Eukaryota; Metazoa; Arthropoda; Insecta; Hemiptera; Aphididae.
UUUUGUAAGGUAUUUUAUAUACUAAAUUAAUACGAAAUAUUUUAAAUAGAUAUAUUCAAAAACAUUGUGGGUAGGUAGGUACUUGAGUUUUUUUUUUAAAUAUCUAAUUGGUGAUUAACAACUAAGUAAAUAACUUCUUUUUUACUAAGCACAUAUGAUUAAUAGGUAUAUUCAUAAUACAAAAUAUACAAUUGUUUAUGUGGCAUCACCAUACAAGUGCAUGCCUGUGAGUAGCGGAGCUACAAUAGGAGGUGAUAUUUUUAACUAUAAUAUUUUAAUAGAACACCAACUUAAAAUUUGUUAUGACAUAAAAACAAAAUUAAUACAGACUAUUUUAAUUUUGAAUAAAAUUUGAAUGAUACUUGUACAUAAUAUAUUAUGAGUAUACAUUAAGUAUACAAUCAAAAGAAAAAAUUAUAAUUAUGUUGACUAUUAAAAACAAAUUUGAUGGUUUCUAAUCUUUGCAGCACUAAAUAUCCAAAAUACUUGGGUACCUAUGAGUAUUACAGUUAUUAAUCAUUUUUUCAGAUAUAAAUUAAUUUUAAAAUUAGACAAAAGAGUUUAAAUUUUUUCAUACUUAAUUUAUAAUACAAAUAGUCUAUGUAAAGCAAUAAAACAACCUAACACCGUAGUAAAAUAAUACUAUAUACCAAAACUACCUAUACUACUUCCGAAAAAAAAAAUAGAGCUGUUGAAAGUUUAAACUACCAAGACUCAUCCUAAAUACUAAUGCAAUACAUAAACAAAAUUUAACCUGUAGUUCUUUAUUUACACACUUGCAGCCUGCAAGUGUGUAAAAGGCUAAAAAAAAACACCCUCCUGUCGCAACAUGUUACCAUUCAUAUUGAAAUUUAACCUAACAUUCAUUAUUUUAAUCUGUCUAUAUAAUAACUCUAAUUCUAGAAUUUGAGGUCAUAG